This 223-nucleotide unclassified non-coding RNA is filed under the name Hevea brasiliensis (rubber tree). Lineage: Eukaryota; Viridiplantae; Streptophyta; Magnoliopsida; Malpighiales; Euphorbiaceae. The record is from RNAcentral.
AUCAAAGUAUCAGUUAACCUUGGACAUUUUUUGCAGCUCCAACCCAUGGGGUGGCCAGAAUGAUUGCGGGCUAGCACAGUUACUGCCCCUGAUCUCGACUAUGUACUGGUUGCCACAUAAAAAUUCAUUUUAUAGGAGCCUGGAGGCGGGGGGUCCUAAGACUGUAACCGUUCAUUCUCCUCCGAAAUGUUUUCUGCUCACUCCUCCAAGAAGCGGUUCACAA